CUAAACUGAGGGAGGUACGUCGAAACUGACCGGCUCGAGGAACGUAGAGGAAAGCGGAACUCUCGGAGUAGCGGUGAAAUGCGUAGAGACCGAGAGGUACCUCGAUGGCGAAGGCAGCUUUCUGGGCGUUUCCUGACGCUGAAGCGCUAAGGCCAGGGGAGCGAAGGGGAUUAGAUACCCCCGUAGUCCUGGCUUCAAACGAUGUGGGCUUGGUGUCGGCCCCCUAUAGAGGGUCGUUGCCGGAGCUAACGCGUUAAGCCCACCGCCUGGGGAUUACGUCCGCAAGGAUGAAACUCAAGGGAAUUGACGGGGGCCCACACAACCGGUGGAGCACGUGGUUUAAUUCGAUGAUAAGCGAAGAACCUUACCAGGGCUUGACCUAGCGGUAGUAGAACCCCGAAAGGGGAACGAACCUAGACUUUGUCUAGGUAGCC
This 434-nucleotide ribosomal RNA is filed under the name uncultured archaeon. Its description in RNAcentral is "bacterial SSU rRNA". It matches the Rfam family "Bacterial small subunit ribosomal RNA", at positions 608 to 1029 of the family's 1533-position model. The record is from RNAcentral.